GGAGAGUUGUCCGAGUGGUCGAAGGUGCAGCACUCGAAAUGCUGUGAGGAAUUUCCUCCUAGGGUUCGAAUCCCUAACUCUCCG
RNAcentral lists this transfer RNA (84 nucleotides) under Clostridia bacterium. RNAcentral describes it as "tRNA-Ser". It matches the Rfam family "tRNA". From Rfam's summary of the family: Transfer RNA (tRNA) molecules are approximately 80 nucleotides in length. Their secondary structure includes four short double-helical elements and three loops (D, anti-codon, and T loops). The record is from RNAcentral. Lineage: Bacteria; Bacillati; Bacillota; Clostridia.